RNAcentral lists this ribosomal RNA (371 nucleotides) under Streptomyces mauvecolor. RNAcentral's name for it is "bacterial SSU rRNA". It matches the Rfam family "Bacterial small subunit ribosomal RNA", at positions 61 to 436 of the family's 1533-position model. Lineage: Bacteria; Bacillati; Actinomycetota; Actinomycetes; Kitasatosporales; Streptomycetaceae. The record is from RNAcentral.
GUCGAACGAUGAAGCCUUUCGGGGUGGAUUAGUGGCGAACGGGUGAGUAACACGUGGGCAAUCUGCCCUUCACUCUGGGACAAGCCCUGGAAACGGGGUCUAAUACCGGAUAACACUUCCUGCCGCAUGGUGGGGGGUUAAAAGCUCCGGCGGUGAAGGAUGAGCCCGCGGCCUAUCAGCUUGUUGGUGGGGUGAUGGCCUACCAAGGCGACGACGGGUAGCCGGCCUGAGAGGGCGACCGGCCACACUGGGACUGAGACACGGCCCAGACUCCUACGGGAGGCAGCAGUGGGGAAUAUUGCACAAUGGGCGAAAGCCUGAUGCAGCGACGCCGCGUGAGGGAUGACGGCCUUCGGGUUGUAAACCUCUUU